AUUGAACGCUGGCGGCAUGCCUUACACAUGCAAGUCGAACGGCAGCACGGGAGCAAUCCUGGUGGCGAGUGGCGAACGGGUGAGUAAAGUAUCGGAACGUGCCCAGUCGUGGGGGAUAACGUAGCGAAAGUUACGCUAAUACCGCAUACGAUCUAUGGAUGAAAGCGGGGGAUCGCAAGACCUCGCGCGAUUGGAGCGGCCGAUAUCAGAUUAGGUAGUUGGUGGGGUAAAGGCUCACCAAGCCGACGAUCUGUAGCUGGUCUGAGAGGACGACCAGCCACACUGGGACUGAGACACGGCCCAGACCCCUACGGGAGGCAGCAGUGGGGAAUAUUGGACAAUGGGCGAAAGCCUGAUCCAGCCAUGCCGCGUGCAGGAUGAAGGCCUUCGGGUUGUAAACUGCUUUUGUACGGAACGAAAAGGUUUGGGCUAAUAAGCUGAGCUCAUGACGGUACCGUAAGAAUAGGCACCGGCUAACUACGUGCCAGCCGCCGCUGUAA
RNAcentral lists this ribosomal RNA (500 nucleotides) under uncultured bacterium. RNAcentral's name for it is "partial 16S ribosomal RNA". It matches the Rfam family "Bacterial small subunit ribosomal RNA", at positions 30 to 523 of the family's 1533-position model. The record is from RNAcentral.